Molecule: long non-coding RNA, 2270 nt
Organism: Homo sapiens (human)
Lineage: Eukaryota; Metazoa; Chordata; Mammalia; Primates; Hominidae
Exons: 3
Source: RefSeq, a predicted model, not a curated record
GAGCCCGGGCGGCUGGCCGGGGGGGGCCUGGCGUUGGGGAGGGACGGGGAUGGCCGCGGGCGCGUUCCCCUCCCGGCCAUGGGCGACCCGGCGACCCGGCUGGGCGUGGCCGCCCGCCCGCCCUUAGCCCGCGCUUCCCGCUCCCGCUGGGCGCCCCGCCACUUCCUGAGGCUGGGCCCAGGGUGGGGGAUCCGGGAGGGUGCAGUUCGGGAUCGCGAAGGCAGCCCCGGAAGGGGGGCGGGCCGGUCGGGGUCGCCACAUCUUAGUUCGGAACCCGGCCGGGGGCAGAGGGUGCCCUAGGGGACGCGAAGGAGCCGCAUUUCUCCUAGAGCGUUUCACCGGACCCGGGGGCUCCCCCUCUCGUCUUCCUCCGUUCCCCAACUUGGAAUAAAGAAUCACCUAGUGAGACGAAUCUGUGUGUCUUUGCAUUCCUGAGACCCUCAUAAAUCGAUUCUGCAGCUUCUCCGGUGGAUGAGUCGUGCCCAGCCACACCCUAGCAAAAUACCGUGGGUCACACACCACCUGCAUUUCUGAGUUCCGGUUACCAUCUCACUCUCUCUCCACGUUAUUUUACGUUUUCUCGUCACCUGGAGGACAGUGUUGGUAAGCUUGAAGAAAAAUCGUGCAUACUGGAAACAAUGGUCUUGCCUCAAACCUGUUGAGAACUUCUCUUCCCUGCUUCUCUCCAUAAUUUGAAGAAGCAAGAAAUGUUUCUGAAGUGAAGCAUAAAGGAGUAUCUUCAAGCUCUAUCUCAUACCUACCAGCUUGCAUAGAGUAUAAUAGUGGGAAGAAAUAUUGUGAAAGAUUCUAGAACCUAAGUCCUUUCUAGGCUAGGCAAUUCUAGGCUACACAAUUCGUAGUCUCUGUAAAUACCAUUUGAUAACUGAAAUAAACCUAUAAAGUGGGAUUAAAUGUUAGUCCAGAAGACUAAGUGAUUUAAGGAAAGAGGGAAAAUAACCAGAUAGAUUUCUGGUGGAUAUUCAUAGACAGACAUAAUUUCAUCAUGUAUUAUGGCCCUAAGUCAUCUAUUUUAUAUUAAAACAUAGAUGGUAACUGUAAAGUUAUCAAAUGUAAAAAUUACUGGGCUAGCAUUGUGUUUUAACACUGAUACACCAGUUGAUUACAGUGUUGACAGAAAACGGGCAGAAACACGUUUAAAGUACCUGCAGAAUAUAUAUAUAGAAAUCUUUUUUUUUUAAUCAGUGUUGACCAGGUUGGCCUCGAACGUGUAGCCUCACCUCCCCGAGUGCCAGGGCAACCGGCCUGAGCCACAGCGGCUCCCUAGAAAUCUUAAGUGCAGGAAACAAAACUACAGUUUAAGGAAACAGGAGUCGGAGAGGAGGGGCAUUUGGCCCAACCACUGGCAAAAGGCUGUUGUUGCAACAACUGUGAGAUUCUGGGAAGUGGGGAAAUGAGCAGGUGCUGUGUAAAAGUGCACAGCUGACUGCCCCAGGUGAGACAGAUCAGUGUCACAGAGAGUAGGAGGAUUUUGAGGUGUGAUUAGUAUUUUUUUUUUUUUUCUUAAAGAGAUGGUCUCGUUCUGGAACCCAGGCUGGAGUGCAGUCGUGGCACGAUCAUAAUUCACUGUAGCCUUGAGCUCCUGGGCUCAAGUGAACCUCCUGAGCAGCUGGGACUACAGAUGCAUGCCACCGUGCCCAGCUAAUUAUUAAAUUGUAUAGACAGGAUCUCUAUAUGGUACCCAAGUUGGUCUCAAACUCCUGGCCUCAAGCAGUCCUCCUGCCUCAGCCUAUUAAAGUGCUGGGAUUACAGGAGUGAGCUACCACACCCAACCAGUAGGAAAUCUUAAAGCCACAUUGAUACUACAGUUUGAAAUAUGUAAAAACUAGGGAGCUAUGUUUCCCACUAACUGGGCAUUUAAAAUGUAAUCGUCUUUGAGGAAGGAAGAAGGCUCUGGAUUAUUCUUGUAAUAGUUUGAAUUUAAAAGGUCCUUUCAGGUGGGCAAACAGCUUACGUGGCUUUCUUGCACUGAAAUAGAAACUGUAGUCCCCAUGUGGGUUUGGGUCCCUGAAUUAUCCCCAGAAGAACUUCCACAGUCCGGAACUGACUCCCUUAAAGAAACCAAAAAUGUAUUUUCUUUGGUGGGGAUUUUCUUUAGUUGGUCUUUGUCUGGGAUUUUAUAUCAGUGACAGACUGUAGCGUCACACUUUUCCAGAAAUACGGUUUCGGAGAGGGUACCCCUAACGUUUUAUGUGUGUGUGUGUUACAUUUAGCAAGUUUAUAUAACAUAUUUUACUUUUUUUUUUUUUUUU